This 459-nucleotide ribosomal RNA is filed under the name uncultured bacterium. Its description in RNAcentral is "partial 16S ribosomal RNA". It matches the Rfam family "Bacterial small subunit ribosomal RNA", at positions 338 to 795 of the family's 1533-position model. The record is from RNAcentral.
CCUACGGGAGGCAGCAGUGAGGAAUAUUGGUCAAUGGCCGGAAGGCUGAACCAGCCAAGCCGCGUGAGGGAGGACGGCGCAGAGCGUCGCAGACCUCUUUUGCCGGGGGACAAAAGGCCGGACUCGUCCGGUCCUGAGGGUACCCGGAGAAAAAGCAUCGGCUAACUCCGUGCCAGCAGCCGCGGUAAUACGGAGUAGGCGAGCGUUAUCCGGAUUCAGUGGGUUUAAGGGGUGCGCAGGGGGGCCUUUAAGCCGGCGGGAAAAUCGCGGGGGUCACCCCCGCCGAGCCGUCGGAACUGGGAGCCUUGAGUGCGGCGGAGGUAUGCGGAAUGCGCGGUGUAGCGGUGAAAUGCGUAGAUAUCGCGCAGAACCCCGAUUGCGAAGGCAGCGUGCCGUGCCGCCACUGACGCUGAGGCACGAAAGCGCGGGGAUCGAACAGGAUUAGAUACCCGGGUAGUC